Molecule: ribosomal RNA, 188 nt
Filed under: uncultured bacterium
Lineage: Bacteria
Description: partial 16S ribosomal RNA
Rfam family: Bacterial small subunit ribosomal RNA
Source: RNAcentral
CCUACGGGAGGCAGCAGUGGGGAAUAUUGGACAAUGCACGCAAGCCUGAUCCAGCCAUGCCGCGUGUGUGAAGAAGGCCUUCGGGUUGUAAAGCACUUUCAGCGAGGAAGAACACCUUGGGGUUAAUACCCCCGAGGAAGGACAUCACUCGCAGAAGAAGCGCCGGCUAACUCCGUGCCAGCAGCCGC